RNAcentral lists this transfer RNA (71 nucleotides) under Dokdonia pacifica. It matches the Rfam family "tRNA". Rfam says of the family: Transfer RNA (tRNA) molecules are approximately 80 nucleotides in length. Their secondary structure includes four short double-helical elements and three loops (D, anti-codon, and T loops). Further hydrogen bonds mediate the characteristic L-shaped molecular structure. tRNAs have two regions of fundamental functional importance: the anti-codon, which is responsible for specific mRNA codon recognition, and the 3' end, to which the tRNAs corresponding amino acid is attached (by aminoacyl-tRNA synthetases). tRNAs cope with the degeneracy of the genetic code in two manners: having more than one tRNA (with a specific anti-codon) for a particular amino acid; and 'wobble' base-pairing, i.e. permitting non-standard base-pairing at the 3rd anti-codon position. Lineage: Bacteria; Pseudomonadati; Bacteroidota; Flavobacteriia; Flavobacteriales; Flavobacteriaceae. The record is from Rfam by way of RNAcentral.
ACGCUUAUGGUGUAACGGUAGCAUCUAAGUCUCCAAAACUUAGGGUUGAGGUUCAAAUCCUUGUGGGCGUG